GUGGGGAAUCUUAGACAAUGGGGGAAACCCUGAUCUAGCCAUGCCGCGUGAGCGAUGAAGGCCUUAGGGUUGUAAAGCUCUUUCAGCUGGGAAGAUAAUGACGGUACCAGCAGAAGAAGCCCCGGCUAACUCCGUGCCAGCAGCCGCGGUAAUACGGAGGGGGCUAGCGUUGUUCGGAAUUACUGGGCGUAAAGCGCACGUAGGCGGACUAUUAAGUCAAGGGUGAAAUCCCGGGGCUCAACCCCGGAACUGCCUCUGAUACUGGUAGUCUUGAGUUCGAGAGAGGUGAGUGGAAUUCCGAGUGUAGAGGUGAAAUUCGUAGAUAUUCGGAGGAACACCAGUGGCGAAGGCGGCUCACUGGCUCGAUACUGACGCUGAGGUGCGAAAGCGUGGGGAGCAAACAGGAUUAGAAACCCGAGUAGUCC
RNAcentral lists this ribosomal RNA (425 nucleotides) under uncultured bacterium. RNAcentral's name for it is "bacterial SSU rRNA". It matches the Rfam family "Bacterial small subunit ribosomal RNA", at positions 354 to 796 of the family's 1533-position model. The record is from RNAcentral.